AGAUGGCGACCGGCGCACGGGUGAGUAACACGUAUCCAACCUGCCGAUAACUCGGGGAUAUCCUUUCGAAAGAAAGAUUAAUACCCGAUGGCAUAAUUAGACCGCAUGGUCUUAUUAUUAAAGAAUUUCGGUUAUCGAUGGGGAUGCGUUCCAUUAGGCAGUUGGUGAGGUAACGGCUCACCAAACCUUCGAUGGAUAGGGGUUCUGAGAGGAAGGUCCCCCACAUUGGAACUGAGACACGGUCCAA
RNAcentral lists this ribosomal RNA (247 nucleotides) under uncultured bacterium. Its description in RNAcentral is "partial 16S ribosomal RNA". It matches the Rfam family "Bacterial small subunit ribosomal RNA", at positions 86 to 334 of the family's 1533-position model. The record is from RNAcentral.